GACGAACGCUGGCGGCGUGCUUAACACAUGCAAGUCGAACGGAAAGGCCCUGCUUUUGUGGGGUGCUCGAGUGGCGAACGGGUGAGUAACACGUGAGUAACCUGCCCUUGACUUUGGGAUAACUUCGGGAAACUGGGGCUAAUACCGGAUAGGAGCUCCUGCUGCAUGGUGGGGGUUGGAAAGUUUCGGCGGUUGGGGAUGGACUCGCGGCUUAUCAGCUUGUUGGUGGGGUAGUGGCUUACCAAGGCUUUGACGGGUAGCCGGCCUGAGAGGGUGCCCGGCCACAUUGGGACUGAGAUACGGCCCAGACUCCUACGGGAGGCAGCAGUGGGGAAUAUUGCACAAUGGGCGGAAGCCUGAUGCAGCAACGCCGCGUGCGGGAUGACGGCCUUCGGGUUGUAAACCGCUUUCGCCUGUGACGAAGCGUGAGUGACGGUAAUGGGUAAAGAAGCACCGGCUAACUACGUG
RNAcentral lists this ribosomal RNA (468 nucleotides) under uncultured bacterium. RNAcentral's name for it is "partial 16S ribosomal RNA". It matches the Rfam family "Bacterial small subunit ribosomal RNA", at positions 28 to 507 of the family's 1533-position model. The record is from RNAcentral.